GAUGAACGCUGGCGGCGUGCCUAAUACAUGCAAGUCGAGCGAACGGACGAGAAGCUUGCUUCUCUGAUGUUAGCGGCGGACGGGUGAGUAACACGUGGAUAACCUACCUAUAAGACUGGGAUAACUUCGGGAAACCGGAGCUAAUACCGGAUAAUAUUUUGAACCGCAUGGUUCAAAAGUGAAAGACGGCUUUGCUGUCACUUAUAGAUGGAUCCGCGCUGCAUUAGCUAGUUGGUAAGGUAACGGCUUACCAAGGCAACGAUGCAUAGCCGACCUGAGAGGGUGAUCGGCCACACUGGAACUGAGACACGGUCCAGACUCCUACGGGAGGCAGCAGUAGGGAAUCUUCCGCAAUGGGCGAAAGCCUGACGGAGCAACGCCGCGUGAGUGAUGAAGGUCUUCGGAUCGUAAAACUCUGUUAUUAGGGAAGAACAUAUGUGUAAGUAACUAUGCACGUCUUGACGGUACCUAAUCAGAAAGCCACGGCUAACUACGUG
RNAcentral lists this ribosomal RNA (497 nucleotides) under uncultured bacterium. RNAcentral describes it as "partial 16S ribosomal RNA". It matches the Rfam family "Bacterial small subunit ribosomal RNA", at positions 28 to 507 of the family's 1533-position model. The record is from RNAcentral.